CAAGAUCACAAAGCCGUGAUGUCAUCCUGCUGGACUGUGAUGUCAUCAGACACAACCCUGAGGACCUGCCUAGAAGCCAUGGCCUCCUCUCCUAUGCACGGCCCUUCAAAGCACUGCAUCUCUCUGACCCUGCAAUGUUGGCCCUGCAUCCCCAGGUCCAAAAUGAUGAAAUUUCCCUGCAGGUCUGAACAACUUUAAAGGGCUUUUUUUCAACCAGGACUCACCGGAACUGAGUUCCGGCUCCUCUCAGUGGGCACCAUUGCCAGGAUGGCAUUCAUGGUGAGUUCCCUCUUUUAAUAGAAAAAUAGCAGUGACCGUUCCAGAGCUUAGAGACAGUUGAACAGAUGCCUUUGAAAGGUGGCGGACUUCUUCUUCCUUGGAGGUUUUUAAGCAGAGGCUGGAUGACCAUCUGUCAUGGAUGCUUUACGUGUUAUCCCUGCAUUGUGUUGUUGUUGUUGUUGUUUAGUCGUGUCUGACUCUUCGUGACCCCCUGGACCAGAGCACGCCAGGCACUCCUGUCUUCCACUGCCUCCCGCAGUUUGGUCAAACUCAUGCUGGUAGCUUCGAGAACACUGUCCAACCAUCUUGUCCUCUGUCGUCCCCUUCUCCUUGUGCCCAACAUCAGGGUCUUUUCCAGAGAGUCUUCUCUUCUCAUGAGGUGGCCAAAGUAUUGGAGCCUCAGCUUCAGGAUCUGUCCUUCCAGUGAGCACUCAGGGCUGAUUUCCUGAAGAAUGGAGAGGUUUGAUCUUCUUGCAGUCCAUGGGACUCUCAAGAGUCUCCUCCAGCACCAUAAUUCAAAAGCAUCAAUUCUUCGGCGAUCAGCCUUCUUUAUGGUCCAGCUCUCACUUCCAUACAUCACUACUGGGAAAACCAUGGCUUUUGCCCUGCAUUGUAGAGGCCCUAUAAUUCUAAAGGUAAAGGUAAAGGUACCCCUGCCUGUACGGGCCAGUCGUGUCCGACUCUAGGGUUGUGCGCCCAUCUCACUUAAGAGGCCGGGGGCCAGAGCUGUCCGGAGACACUUCCGCGUCACGUGGAAAGCGUGAUGAAGCUGCCCUGGCGAGCCAGCACCAGCGCAGCACACGGAAACGCCGUUUACCUUCCCGCUAUAAAGAGGUACCUAUUUAUCUACUUGCACUUAAGGGUGCUUUCGAACUGCUAGGUGGGCAGGAGCUGGGACCGAAAGACGGGAGCUCACCCCACCGCGGGGAUUCGAACCGCCGACCAUGCGAUCGGCAAGCCCUAGGCGCUGAGGAUUUACCCACAGCGCCACCCGCGUCCCUCUCCUAUAAUUCUAAGAUGGCAAUAACUAAAGCACAACGUUUAUAAAGAUGCCAGUUUUGAACAACACCAGUCAAUGCACUAGAACAGGGGUGGUGAACCUUAUGCCCGAUGGCUGAAUGUGACCCUCCAGGCCUCUAUGUUUGGCCCUCAGAGUGCUCCCCAACCCAAGCCCCUCAAUGGACCCGCUUUUGCCUGGCUGGGAUGCAUCCUUGAAUUCUGUUCUUACUCCUUUUUUGUCUGGAUGGAGGACUGUCUGUGGGUGUGUAGACACUAGCCUACUAUACAAAGGUAAAUUUUGCCUUGGCUGCUCCACCCAGUUUUCCUCUGGCCACACCCACCACUGGCAGGUGACCCUCAGGAGGUUGCCCUGAGGGGAAUGUGGCCCUCGGACUGGAAAAAAAUUGUUUCCUCAUACUAUAGGAAGAGAGCUAACAGAGAUUCAGCCCAAACUACUGGUAACAUUUAAGAGAAACGCCUUUGAAUCAUUGAAUUGUAGAGCUGGGACCGAUAGGGUCAUCUAGUCCAACCCCUGCAGUGCAGGAAUCACAGUCUCCAUUUGCCGGGUUCCUGGAAAGUGUUCCAAAGAGAUGGGUUCACCACCAAAAAGGCCCUGCAGCUGCAUUUCCCUACAUUUUCUGUGGCAAAAUGAUGGAAGCACUUAGGUGGCCUGGCAGGUGGGAAAAGCGCUCUCCUAAACCCCAGGCUUCGCAAUCUGUGCUUUUUUCUCACAACAACCCUGCGAAGUGGGCAAUGCCGUUAUUCCCACUAUACAUGUGUGAACUGAAUCUCUGUGUUAAUUGCUCAUUGACCGACUGUAUAUUAUUAGUAAUUUUAUUGUAAUAUUAUUACUAUUAUGAACUUGUAACCUACUAAGUUCUACUCAGAGUAAACCCGUUCAAAUUAAAAGACCUAAGUUCAUCAUGUUGUUAAUUCCAGUGAAUCCGCUCUGAGUAGAACUUAAUUGGAGACCACCCAUUAUUAUUCUUAGUUUUUGACUUUUUCUAUUUUUUUAAAAAGUUUCACAAGAAAGAAAAAGUACUCAAGAACAAAUGAAGAUGCACGGUAGGAAACCAUCCUUAAAUAAUUUUUAAAAGUCCACAGUCAAAUUAAAAGCCGAGACCAGCAAAGUUCAAUACUUAGUAGAAUACCAUCAUUGAUGUUUAAAGAAGAUUUACUGCAAACACCUGGAGACGAUCUUAUCAUUUAUUUGCUUGUUUAUUGAUUUAUUUAUCAUUUUACUAUGUUAAUCUAGCGCAACUCACUGGUUGGAUCCCUGGCUUUCACCUAGCCAGCCACCACAGCUUCUGACAUUGCUCAUAACCAGCAGGAGGCGCCUUCACAAGAGCUGAGCAUCAGGCGAUGAUGGGAAUCUUCAAGGAAGAUCAGCACAAGUCCAAGACUUUUCCGUGGAGACUGUUUACCCCAAGGCUGGCUGGCCCAUUCAGGCCCCAAUAGCACCACAGGAAAGUGUACAUUUGAAUUUAAACUGCUAUGAGGUUCCCCCCCCCAAAAAAAACAACAAAACAUUGGUUUUGUUUGUAAAAAAAUUAAUGUAACUUGCUUUUAAUGUUUUUCUUAAAAAAGGUAUUUUAAAUGACUAUUUUAGACUGCGUUGAAAACCUCUGAGAGGCCUUUUGUCCUAGUAAGCAGAAUAUAAAUUUUGUUAGAUAGUCCUGCACGGUUUUUAUUAGCUGUAUUUUAAUAGAUUUGCUUUCUACAUUGCAUUAAAUCUAUUAGAGUUUAAUUACUUUUAAACAAUUACCUACAUGCUUUUAGCUUUUUGUAUUGCCCCCCCCCCCAUUGUUUAAAUUUGUGUAAAUCGCCUUGAGUCGCAGUCUGGGAAGAAGGCAUGAUAGAAUAGAA
Non-coding RNA from Podarcis lilfordi (Lilford's wall lizard), 3144 nucleotides. Lineage: Eukaryota; Metazoa; Chordata; Lepidosauria; Squamata; Lacertidae. The record is from the annotation of a GenBank genome assembly.